This 481-nucleotide ribosomal RNA is filed under the name uncultured bacterium. Its description in RNAcentral is "bacterial SSU rRNA". It matches the Rfam family "Bacterial small subunit ribosomal RNA", at positions 28 to 507 of the family's 1533-position model. The record is from RNAcentral.
GACGAACGCUGGCGGCGUGCUUAACACAUGCAAGUCGAACGGAGCACCCUUGAUUGAGGUUUCGGCCAAAAUGAUAGGAAUGCUUAGUGGCGGACUGGUGAGUAACGCGUGAGGAACCUGCCUUUCAGAGGGGGACAACAGUUGGAAACGACUGCUAAUACCGCAUGACGCAUUUUGAUCGCAUGGUCGAAAUGCCAAAAGAUUUAUCGCUGAAAGAUGGCCUCGCGUCUGAUUAGCUAGUUGGUGAGGUAACGGCCCACCAAGGCGACGAUCAGUAGCCGGACUGAGAGGUUGACCGGCCACAUUGGGACUGAGAUACGGUCCAGACUCCUAGGGAGGCAGCAGUGGGGAAUAUUGCACAAUGGGGGAAACCCUGAUGCAGCGACGCCGCGUGAGUGAUGAAGUAUUUCGGUAUGUAAAACUCUAAUCAGCAGGGAAGAUAAAUGACGGUACCUGACUAAGAAGCACGGCUAAAUACGUG